GAAUAUUGGGCAAUGGACGCAAGUCUGACCCAGCAACGCCGCGUGAAGGAAGAAGGCUUUCGGGUUGUAAACUUCUUUUAAGGGGGAAGAGCAGAAGACGGUACCCCUUGAAUAAGCCACGGCUAACUACGUGCCAGCAGCCGCGGUAAUACGUAGGUGGCAAGCGUUGUCCGGAUUUACUGGGUGUAAAGGGCGUGCAGCCGGGAAGACAAGUCAGAUGUGAAAUCCCGCGGCUCAACCGCGGAACUGCAUUUGAAACUGUUUUUCUUGAGUAUCGGAGAGGUAAUCGGAAUUCCUAGUGUAGCGGUGAAAUGCGUAGAUAUUAGGAAGAACACCAGUGGCGAAGGCGGAUUACUGGACGACAACUGACGGUGAGGCGCGAAAGCGUGGGGAGCAAAC
RNAcentral lists this ribosomal RNA (399 nucleotides) under uncultured bacterium. RNAcentral describes it as "bacterial SSU rRNA". It matches the Rfam family "Bacterial small subunit ribosomal RNA", at positions 359 to 773 of the family's 1533-position model. The record is from RNAcentral.